CAACUACUCCCUCUGUCCCAAAUUUCUUGUCUUAGAUUUGUCUAGAUACGGAUGUAUCUAAUACUAAAAUGUGACUUGAUACAUCCGCAUCUAGACGAAUCUAAGAGAAGAAUUUUGGGACGGAGGGAGUACUUU
Non-coding RNA from Triticum aestivum (bread wheat), 135 nucleotides. The record is from Rfam. NCBI's taxonomy places the organism in Eukaryota, Viridiplantae, Streptophyta, Magnoliopsida, Poales, Poaceae.